RNAcentral lists this ribosomal RNA (164 nucleotides) under Colobanthus affinis. Its description in RNAcentral is "5.8S ribosomal RNA". It matches the Rfam family "5.8S ribosomal RNA". From Rfam's summary of the family: 5.8S ribosomal RNA (5.8S rRNA) is a component of the large subunit of the eukaryotic ribosome. It is transcribed by RNA polymerase I as part of the 45S precursor that also contains 18S and 28S rRNA. Lineage: Eukaryota; Viridiplantae; Streptophyta; Magnoliopsida; Caryophyllales; Caryophyllaceae. The record is from RNAcentral.
UAAACGACUCUCGGCAACGGAUAUCUUGGCUCUCGCAUCGAUGAAGAACGUAGCGAAAUGCGAUACUUGGUGUGAAUUGCAGAAUCCCGUGAACCAUCGAGUUUUUGAACGCAAGUUGCGCCCGAAGCUCUCGGGCUUAGGGCACGUCUGCCUGGGCGUCAUGC